CCUACGGGUGGCAGCAGUGAGGAAUAUUGGUCAAUGGGCGCGAGCCUGAACCAGCCAAGUAGCGUGAAGGAUGACUGCCCUACGGGUUGUAAACUUCUUUUAUAAAAGAAUAAAGUGAGGCACGUGUGCCUUUUUGUAUGUACUUUAUGAAUAAGGAUCGGCUAACGCCGUGCCAGCAGCCGCGGUAAUACGGAGGAUCCGAGCGUUAUCCGGAUUUAUUGGGUUUAAGGGGAGCGUAGAUGGGUUGUUAAGUCAGUUGUGAAAGUUUGCGGCUCAACCGUAAAAUUGCAAUUGAUACUGGCAGCCUUGAGUACAGUUGAGGUAGGCGGAAUUCGUAGUGUAGCGGUGAAAUGCUUAGAUAUCACGAAGAACUCCGAUUGCGAAGGCAGCUUACUAAACUGUCACUGACAUUGAUGCUCGAAAGUGUGGGUAUCAAACAGGAUUAGAUACCCCAUUAGUC
Molecule: ribosomal RNA, 460 nt
Filed under: uncultured bacterium
Lineage: Bacteria
Description: partial 16S ribosomal RNA
Rfam family: Bacterial small subunit ribosomal RNA
Source: RNAcentral